This 211-nucleotide long non-coding RNA is filed under the name Lathyrus oleraceus (garden pea). RNAcentral's name for it is "Pisum sativum (pea) long non-coding RNA (PSAT_LNC012498)". The record is from RNAcentral. Lineage: Eukaryota; Viridiplantae; Streptophyta; Magnoliopsida; Fabales; Fabaceae.
ACUUUUCAAGCCCCCGUGCUUAAGAGACUAUGUACUAAUAUAAUUUUACUAGGCCCCUAGGAAGGGAUAGUCCGUGGAAAAUAAGGAAGGUUGGGUGCAAGGGAGAAGGGAAAACUACCCUAUAAAGCCAGAGGCCGCCUCAAGGGUCCAUUUGGUCGCCCCGAAAUAUGCCGCGAGACCGUAUGAUUGAGCUCACGCUGUCCACUCCCCC